AGUUCAGUGAGCAUUCGGUGAGUGAAGAUCGUCAAGAGCGGUUGAGCAGUGUUCGACAAGGGAGCCUUCGAGCUCCCUUGGUAGCUCGAAAUAGUUCAAGAUAGGAAGAUGGAAGUGAUAAGCUCCUACUAAGUUUGUGACUUGUUGAAAGUUUGUUGGAUCUGUUCUGAAGUGGGAACGUCCCAAAAAGGAAGUGUGAAACCGUUCGACCAGUGCCAAGUGAUAAGCGAUAAAAAUUUGGGGAGCCUCAAUCGAGGAAAGAUCGAGUGCCCUACCGGGGACGCAUUCGCAAGGACGUCUCUUCAGGAGCCGCUGGGAUUCGAAAAGAGGAGCUCAGCGACGUCACGUAUCCGCCACUCACGAAGAGGUAACUAGAUGCGACGCGGCGAGUUGCCAUCGAAGCAACCCGACAGACGGUGCGCCGAGUUAUCCUCUGGGGAAGCCCCGCCCUCCUACGUCAGCCGGUCUACUGCGAUUUGGCGAACCGAGGGGCCUCUUCAUCAACCGACCCACCCCCCCGUCACAGAGCCAAGGGACACGGUUCACCUACAAAUGUUCAACUUCAGUGCGGCUGCCUCCGGCCUUGCAUCCCCAAGACUUCAACGCGGGACAGCUUUGGAACGCUCUGCCCCAUGGAUCCGGGGUGCUUGCAGGGCUAUUGGCGCCGAUAAACGAAACAGAUACCGCCGGUGUCAGCAGGAGCUAAACGGUCUAAUUUCUGCGGUUCCCGAAACUACUAAGGUGAUAGAUCAAUCGUCGUCGAACAAAAGGCUUAGUCUGUUCCGACAUUCCAGGGUUUUUUCUCCCCUUUCGCAUGCAUUUGCGAUACGAGAGAAAAACGUGCUUCGUAAUCGUUUUCGAUUGUGAUUGUCCCCCCUCAUACAAUGAGGAUCCGAAGGAAGAAGCUUCGCCAGCACAAAAGAUCCCACAAUUGUGUGCGCCAGCACAAGGAAUACGUGAAAUGUCAGCAACAGUUCAAUUUACUGCGCUCCAGCCCCGUAGUUGUCGGAGUCGAACCGGGUCCCAGCUCCCGGUCCCAGUUAUCAUCGUUUUGUGGAAGUUAGCUGAAACUGCACUUUUUCCCAUCUCUCCGGCUGGCUCCGGGAAGGCAACAGCCAAUGUAUGCACCAUUAUUCCAGGAGGAAGUGCCAAAUCGAACAACGGAAUGCCAUUUUUCAUGGCUCGAUUUCCUGACUCCUGGAUUCGGCAGGCAACCGAGAGCUGCGGGAAAAAAGAUGAACGAACGAACGAAUCGAUUGGGACAAAGAGCUGUUUUGCUCGGAAUUGGUUCACUGCGGCAACUUGACGACAUUUUUCAAUUUCCAACCAUAAAUAUUUCAUCUUUUUCCAAUUCAUUACGGCGAGUGGUUUGCUCGAUGGUACGAGAAUCAGCGCAUUUUGUCGUUUGUCGGAGUUUGCUUUAUCUUGUUUUCGUGUGGUUUGGCUUUCAAAUUUUUAGCUGUUAAGGAUUAAUUCACCCAUCGUUUCACUAGAUUAAGUAUUUUACUUUUCACUUUCACCCUAGAUGUAAGCGUUUUAUGAGUGCCUUUCUACUUUACCUUUAAUUCUAUUACUGAUUACGUUUUUCUAACUUUUUCUUGGAUCGCAAUGCCUUUUGACUGACAGUUCAAGCGUUUGUUAUAGCAUCGUUAUGCCUGUUACCCGUUACUCGUUAUCCACGCCGACACUAACCGUUCGUUACCGCACUUUCGUUUUGUUAUUGUUUUGUUUGCCCCUCACCCCGUUACCACUGGAAACCACCCGCAAUGGAUCCCCUUCGGAAGUGUUUGUUAUUUGUUGAACUAAAUUUCAAAACUCCUUCGCCGAUUGGUGGAAUCCGUUGGAUUCCAACGAUUGGCGAAUGUCGGUUUUGAAUACUCCGAUUUUGGAAUCCAUUGCGUCGGUUGUGGCAUCACAGUAGCCCGUUAAGUUUUUGUUUCUGUUACACCUUGUCUGUUUUCGAUCUGUUCUUUGUUGGAGUCACCGCGUUACUAUGCUCAAGCGUUACGCAACCUUUUUCGCCAUCUUUCGGGAUGUUGCGGAAUCGGAUGAGUGCUGCUUGGGAAUACCGUUUUGUUUGUUUCCGUUUUUUGUUGAUUAUUGUUAACAUUUUGACACGCUUCUGAACGUAGUUGCCUGUUUACGUUAGCGUUCAGAACGUUGUCAAACUGUUGUGUUUCUGUUUUGUAUUUAUUUGUUACUUUCGCAUGCUUUGUUUUCCCAAAUUCCCAUUCUUGUUCCGUUUCUGUUCACCCUCUUAAGUUUCCGUUCAAGUUUUUGUUAAGUUUCACCUCAACCUGUUAUUGCCUGAGCUGUCAGUGGGCAAGCAUUGCUCUCCUCUCUUUUAUCUUACAACUUUAUUGUGCUUAGGUUAGGAUAAAAAAAAUCUGUGCUAAAUUUCUGCUGCACCUUCUAUACGUAAAAAAUUCUACCAAUUUCGCCUUGCGUGACUUUGACAAUAAUAUUUGUUUUGCUCCUAAAUUUCACCGACAAAUGCGAACUGAGACCAUACCACAAAAACCACUCUGUCAGCAAAAGAAAACCGAAAAAACACCAAUCACAACGUGCAAACGCUUCAAACUGAAGCGAAAAUCCCCCGUCAGAUGAGAUUAAGCCAAGAUCUAUCGCAUGCCCUCGAACCACAAGACCCGAUAAAACUUUCUCUUUGACACCACCCUACAACAAGCAAAUCACAAGUUCAAACCAGAAAAACCCGUAGUAGAAAAACUGCAAUUGCAAAACUUUUGCAAUUUCGCAACCAUCUCCCGUGGAAGAGCUUCAGACUGAAAAAAAGUUGAACACAUACCAAGACGCAUUUGUCACCGUUACCUUCCCAUCCCCAUCAAUCCCGCACUAAACCCCCAACCCACCAAUAAUUGUUGUCUGUUGAUUCAGGUUGUUACACUUGUUAUUGCUAUAUUUGUUAUCUAGUUUUAAGAUCGAGACGCGCGAUACCCGAACUUGUUAACUAGUUUUCCUAAGUGUUACAGAAUGUUUUAUUCGCCCCCCUCAAAAGGAGCACACACACAAACACAUAUCGUUGUGACUUUUGACAGUUGAGUGAGUGGAGGAGCCACGUGCUUCUCGUUGUUUUCGUUACCAUAGUUACCCGUUCAGGUGAGAAGCCAAAAGCAGGAAGAAAAACCCGCGCGCGCUGUUAAGGUUAUGUUUAUAUUAUGAAAAGUUUGUUACAGAAAUCCCCGUUCGUUACCCGUACAAAAACAAAAUACAAAACCCGAUCGUUACCGAAAGAUUGUUAGUUUGUUAAAGUUUUCUUGUUAUGAAUCCGUUCAAAUCAGCAUUGUUAUGUUUGUUUUGGUUCUAGCGAAGACACGAGCCGUUGUUUACGUGGUCAGGAUAAUUUUGAAUCUUUCUUUCUAGUAGGCUAGGUUCGAUUUAGAGUGUAAUGUUUCAAGAUUUUUUUUUUGGCGUUAGGUUCUCAAUUUUUCUAAAUUUUUCUUCUUAUUCUUAACCAUUUUUGUCAUUCAUUCAACUAACAUUAAAAAUAACAUAUUUACUUUAAGCUUUUCAUUGUAUAAGAAUAAUCUUAAUAGUUAAGCAACAAAAAUAUACUAACUUAUAACAUGUUUGAACCACAAAAAAACCUAAAAUAUUUGGAUUGAGUGUGAAUAAGAGUGAAUGGAAGUCAUUGAAUAAAACAUUAAAACAAAACCCAA
This 3677-nucleotide long non-coding RNA is filed under the name Aedes aegypti (yellow fever mosquito). RNAcentral describes it as "lncRNA AAEL020445". The record is from RNAcentral. Lineage: Eukaryota; Metazoa; Arthropoda; Insecta; Diptera; Culicidae.